This 301-nucleotide ribosomal RNA is filed under the name uncultured bacterium. Its description in RNAcentral is "partial 16S ribosomal RNA". It matches the Rfam family "Bacterial small subunit ribosomal RNA", at positions 509 to 809 of the family's 1533-position model. The record is from RNAcentral.
CAGCAGCCGCGGUAAUACGUAGGUGGCAAGCGUUAUCCGGAAUUAUUGGGCGUAAAGCGCGCGUAGGCGGUUUUUUAAGUCUGAUGUGAAAGCCCACGGCUCAACCGUGGAGGGUCAUUGGAAACUGGAAAACUUGAGUGCAGAAGAGGAAAGUGGAAUUCCAUGUGUAGCGGUGAAAUGCGCAGAGAUAUGGAGGAACACCAGUGGCGAAGGCGACUUUCUGGUCUGUAACUGACGCUGAUGUGCGAAAGCGUGGGGAUCAAACAGGAUUAGAUACCCGUGUAGUCCCUGUCUCUUAUAU